UGCAGCCGCGGUAAUUCCAGCUCCAAUAGCGUAUAUUAAAGUUGUUGCAGUUAUAAAGCUCGUAGUUGAAUUUCGGGGUUCUACCGUUGGUCGGGCAAUUGUCUGUACUGGCGUGUGGAAUUUCUACCUUCUGGGGAACUAUCAUGUUAUUAAUUUAGCGUGGUGGGAAACCAGGACCUUUACCUUGAAAAAAUUAGAGUGUUUAAAGCAGGCUCACGCUUGAAUACAUUAGCAUGGAAUAAUGAAAUAGGACAUCCGAUUCUAUUUUGUUGGUUUCUAGGAUCGAUGUAAUGAUUAAUAGGGAUAGUUGGGGGCAUUAGUAUUCAAUUGUCAGAGGUGAAAUUCUUGGAUUUAU
RNAcentral lists this ribosomal RNA (355 nucleotides) under uncultured Racocetraceae. RNAcentral describes it as "bacterial SSU rRNA". It matches the Rfam family "Eukaryotic small subunit ribosomal RNA", at positions 569 to 929 of the family's 1831-position model. Lineage: Eukaryota; Fungi; Glomeromycota; Glomeromycetes; Diversisporales; Gigasporaceae. The record is from RNAcentral.